UAUUUUUCAUUUUUUUUUGCCUUU
This 24-nucleotide small RNA is filed under the name Arabidopsis thaliana (thale cress). RNAcentral's name for it is "ATSL171050". Lineage: Eukaryota; Viridiplantae; Streptophyta; Magnoliopsida; Brassicales; Brassicaceae. The record is from RNAcentral.